Molecule: ribosomal RNA, 408 nt
Filed under: uncultured bacterium
Lineage: Bacteria
Description: partial 16S ribosomal RNA
Rfam family: Bacterial small subunit ribosomal RNA
Source: RNAcentral
GACGAACGCUGGCGGCGUGCCUAAUACAUGCAAGUCGAGCGAGGCGGCGGAUGGGUGAGUAACGCGUGGGUAACCUGCCCUUAAGUCUGGGAUACCAUUUGGAAACAGAUGCUAAUACCGGAUACUAAAGGAUGGCCCUGCGAUGCAUUAGAUAGUUGGUAAGGUAACGGCUUACCAAGGCGAUGAUGCAUAGCUGAUGUGAGAGACUGAUCGGCCACAUUGGGACUGAGACACGGCCCAAACUCCUACGGGAGGCAGCAGUAGGGAAGCUUCCACAAUGGGCGCAAGCCUGAUGCAGCCAUGCCGCGUGUAUGAAGAAGGCCUUCGGGUUGUAAAGUACUUUCAGCGAGGAGGCGUUACUCGCAGAAGAAGCACCGGCUAACUCCGUGCCAGCCGCCGCGGUAAUAC